GACGAACGCUGGCGGCGUGCUUAACACAUGCAAGUCGAACGGAAAGGCCCCUUUGGGGGUCCUCGAGUGGCGAACGGGUGAGUAACACGUGAGUAACCUGCCCUUGACUUCGGGAUAACUUCAGGAAACUGGGGCUAAUACCGGAUAGGAAUCCUUGCUGCAUGGUGGGGGUUGGAAAGCUUCGGCGGUUUUGGAUGGACUCGCGGCUUAUCAGCUUGUUGGUGGGGUAGUGGCUUACCAAGGCUUUGACGGGUAGCCGGCCUGAGAGGGCGACCGGCCACAUUGGGACUGAGAUACGGCCCAGACUCCUACGGGAGGCAGCAGUGGGGAAUAUUGCACAAUGGGCGGAAGCCUGAUGCAGCAACGCCGCGGGCGGGAUGACGGCUUUCGGGUUGUAAACCGCUUUCAGCAGGGGCGAAGCUUGUGGUGACGGUACCUGCAGAAGAAGCACCGGCUAACUACGUG
Molecule: ribosomal RNA, 465 nt
Filed under: uncultured bacterium
Lineage: Bacteria
Description: partial 16S ribosomal RNA
Rfam family: Bacterial small subunit ribosomal RNA
Source: RNAcentral